AUCUGUGCAUUAAGACUUGCAGUGUAAAUGCAGCCUUUGAAUGGAUUUUGAGUCUACACUUUUUUCAAUCCAACUCAUUGAGAUUAGUUGAGGUGUUACCAUGAAUGCUUUUCAGUCCGACUUGGCCAUUAUAAAUGGAUUAUUUGAGGGCAUGUAAAUGUAGCUAUUGGUUUAUUGGCUAUCUGAAGCAUUUUAAAAAUAAGGACACAUAGCGUAUGGUCUAACAUGACCAUAAUUUAAUCAGCCCACAUUUAGAAGUCAUUUUGAAAUCAAGGGAAUGUAUGUAUGUGAUUUUUUGGUCGUGAAUUGUAACUGUGUCCAGGUGUGAAACUAGGGUGACCAUACGUCCUCCUCCAGGACAUGUCUGGGAAAAAGAGGAUGUAUGGUCAUCCUAAAGUAAAUCUUAGGGGAUUUUUUUGUGUUUUUCCCCCCAUAACUGUGAUGAUUGGCAGACAUUUUGUUAUUUACUUGAUUUUUAUUUCUGUAACCCUGUCCAGAGUGAAUGUUCAUUGGUCCAAAAUCCAGCUCCUCAUACUAUACUUUUUGGGUGAACUAUUCCUUUGGUACCAGACUCAAGCUGACAGAUGCACUGAUGUGUUUGUCCCUGACAGUGACAUGCCUUCCCCAACCGCAGCUGUGCCAACGGUUUCUAUUUAUUGAGGGGAAGAAAGCCGUUCUUGAGCAGUAUUUUUGUGUUUUGUAGUCUCUAAAUGAUGUAAAUGUACAGAUAUUUGUUACUGUUUGCAAGGGCUAAAACUAAAGGAGUGAGCCAGACAUUUUGGACAUUCCAAUGGAGACGAAUCUGUACUGCACUGCAACUGUGUUAGCUGAUGUUUUAUUCCUUUACUGAAGUACUUUCUGUUGAAAGCAGUAAAACAAAAGGCCUUUUCUUAACCAGUCAAGUGCACCUGAAUUUUAUUCUUGCCUUUGGAGCAAACAGAAAAGAGUUUGUGCUUUUAAAUGUGUAUGUUUUUGAUGUGUGUAUUUGUCACUAAUCUACAUACACGGUGAUGUUCUCUUGUAUGUGUUGAAAGAAAAUAGUUUCAUGACAAAAACCUUUAGCAUCAAAAUGGAGUCUUGUUAUUUAACAUGAAUAAAUCUCUAUAUUAACUGCUUUUGUUAAUAAAAUAAAUCAACA
Molecule: long non-coding RNA, 1138 nt
Organism: Sinocyclocheilus rhinocerous
Lineage: Eukaryota; Metazoa; Chordata; Actinopteri; Cypriniformes; Cyprinidae
Exons: 4
Source: RefSeq, a predicted model, not a curated record